GGUCGCACAGAAAGAAUAAGUAACUUACAUUAUUUCCGUUUUAUUGAUUAUCUGAGGCUGAACGAUCUUUUAUUUUGAAAAAUGACCGGCUUCUCUCCGUUACAUCCGUCUAUGAUUCACUCUUGACGCAUGUCAAGAGGCUUGUCUCGGUCACGUGAUACGUGACCGCUAAAAAUAAACGCACAAGCUAGCACAAUUAGUAAAAAAAAAAAAACCAAAACAACCGUCUCUGGAAAGGGGAAAGGCCCUAGAUGGCACCGUCUCGUUUCAAAGGAACAGGCUCAGGACUGCCACUGAUUCAGCGUUAUGGAAGCGUGAAGGAAGGCUCCAAAGUUCCUAAUGAAUGCAACUGUGAAGCACCAUACAAGGCAAAAGGAUCCUUGGUUGCAUCCAGGCCAACCAAACAUCAAGAAAGGAGGAUGACGAGGAGAAGGCCGAUGGUUUGUGUGAGCAGACGGAGCAUGUAGUCACCGUCUGUGGAUGCGGCGAUGGUGGCUCCCACUGUAUGAAUACUCUUUGGAUAAGAGGAGCUGUGUGCUCCCUCAGCUCCCUGCAGUUGGCUGAAAGGAGGUUUCCAUCUUCUGGGAACAGAUGGACACCAGACCUCCACAGCUGGGGAGACCUGUUGGAAAGGCUCACGGCUGACAGCUCGCUGUGGCGCUGAGCGCUGCUCUCUGGGGAGGCCUCACACACAGAGAGGGAGGGAGGGGAAAAAAUAUCUCCACAAAAUGGAAGAAAAAAUUUUUUGGAGGCAGUCAGGUCUGCCCAUUCUGGGAAAGCAGGCUGGAGACAAACUAAACAAGCAUCAGUUCUGGAGAAGGAAGCGUUGAUCUGCGGCCUGGUGAAGGUGGUGCUUGGUACGCCACGUUACUGCACGUUGUCCAACACCUCAGGCGCCACCUUUUCCCCCCUUCUCCUCGUCAGCAUGAGGGUGGUGGAGGACGCUGCGGUAUGAAAGCGUGCUCGUAACACUGGGCCUAUUCACUCUGUCCGUGCACCAUCAGCAUUUAAAGAAGACAGGCAGAACUGUUUGGGAUUCCCAGCACACGGCCGCUCCAAAGUAUGAAACCUGAACACUUCUGUUCAGUGUGAGCACAGGUGGAGUAAAUAUUACUGCUCAUGACUGACAACAUGGAGGCCAAAGCUGUGCUAUGUAGCACGAAUGCUUCAAAGGAUCAGAAUUCUUGUCUGGGUGAAGGUUUUUCUUUAACAGACUGGAGUUUGAGAAACACAGACGCUCUUAGAAGCAGCAGCUGGUUUUUACUACUUUGUACUACAUUUCACUGGCAAAUGUCACACUUUUGUCUCCACUACAUUUAUUUGUGUAUAAUAUGUGAAUAACACUUGUGUAUUGUGUAUAUUUAAGACAAACUAUCAACUAAAAUCUAUCUAACAAAAGGUGAGA
Scatophagus argus is the source of this 1405-nucleotide long non-coding RNA. RefSeq lists it as uncharacterized. The record is from RefSeq and is a predicted model, not a curated record. NCBI's taxonomy places the organism in Eukaryota, Metazoa, Chordata, Actinopteri, Scatophagidae. The transcript is spliced from 3 exons.